UUUUCACUUGUUAUCUUUUGCAAAGCAAAACUCUCAGGGCCAUCAUUAAAAGACAUGGGUAAUGCUCAAGUAUCAGAAAAUAUAAAUUUAUUUCUUUUCAAGCCAAUGGAACUUUGCUUUUCCUUUUUCGGUAUUCAAUUUAUGAAGUUAGCACAUUUCACCUUUUUUAAUUGCUUUCCUCAAUUUUCUUGUUUACUUUUCAAGGCAAAAGAUACUUUCCUGAUACUUUCUGUAUGACAAGAAAAAGCAGCUAGUUCUGAUAUACAAACCUUGAAGCCCUUCAUUGGUAGUGA
RNAcentral lists this unclassified non-coding RNA (293 nucleotides) under Hevea brasiliensis (rubber tree). The record is from RNAcentral. Lineage: Eukaryota; Viridiplantae; Streptophyta; Magnoliopsida; Malpighiales; Euphorbiaceae.